UAAACUAAAACAAAUAAAAACGUUUGAUUUGUCAUUAUUUCUGCUUUAUUCUGUUCUUAUUCUACUGGUUCUGAUCCGCUUUAGAUCCUAUUGGUCUGAAUGUAGAACCUGAACUAACCUGAUUUUUAUCGGCUUUUAUUGUUCAAAUGUUCCGUGUCAUUUUUUUCCCGUGGGCCGGAUCGGACCCUUUGGUGGGCCAGUUUUGGCCCACGGACCACAUGUUUG
Sphaeramia orbicularis (orbiculate cardinalfish) is the source of this 225-nucleotide long non-coding RNA. RefSeq lists it as uncharacterized. The transcript has 3 exons. The record is from RefSeq and is a predicted model, not a curated record. Lineage: Eukaryota; Metazoa; Chordata; Actinopteri; Kurtiformes; Apogonidae.